Non-coding RNA from Heterocephalus glaber (naked mole-rat), 611 nucleotides. NCBI's taxonomy places the organism in Eukaryota, Metazoa, Chordata, Mammalia, Rodentia, Bathyergidae. The record is from RefSeq and is a predicted model, not a curated record.
AUUUCCUUCAUGUUAGCUUGUUCAUUUGUUAUAUUCAGUCCUAGUUCUACAGGAGUUUUCUGAGAAUAUUUGUCAAUGGCCUCAAAGAGCAACCUCACCCUCUUUCUGCCAUGUGGGGCUAGAAGAGGAGGGCAACAUGCAACCAUAAGAGCACCCUCAGAGCACCAGAACUGGACCUGCAUCCUGAUCUCAGACUUCCAGCCUCCAGCACUGUGAGAGAUAAAUGUCUACAGUUUAUGAGCACCACAUCUGUGCUCAUAACAACCCAGAAGGAAUAAGACAACAGUUUUCCCUCAUGUGAACCUACCAAUUAGUGGAUCUCUUUCUGAUGUACUUGGGCUUAUGUCUGGCCUUUUGGAAGAGCAUCGGGAUCAAAAGGAUUCAACAAGGAUGGAUGCCCUCUCUCCAGUUUGCUGAGACAGGGGUGUCACUCCUGCAGCAGCAAGAGACUUUUGCUUUGGCCAAGAAGCCAUCAAUAAUUUGUUUUCAUAACCAGCAGAGGGCGCCAGGGCCUGCAGUAUGGUUAACAAGCGGUGAAAUCAUCUAACCUUCAGGUGAUUUCUUGAGUUUGGAAAUUGGCAAGCUAACAAAUGCUUUAAAGAAGAAAAGUG